Xenopus tropicalis (tropical clawed frog) is the source of this 3082-nucleotide long non-coding RNA. RefSeq lists it as uncharacterized. The record is from RefSeq and is a predicted model, not a curated record. The transcript has 2 exons. NCBI's taxonomy places the organism in Eukaryota, Metazoa, Chordata, Amphibia, Anura, Pipidae.
AGUGCACACCUUUACACACCCAGCGAACAACAGGGCGGGACCUCUCCUACCGCCUCUUCCAAACUCCACAGGAAUGAAUUCCGAUAAAGCUUUUUACUGACUCACAAUGAUGUCCUUCGAGAUGGACCUUAGCUUAUGGUGAAUGACAGAAGAACAGAAGAAGGUCCAAUUGCAGCUCAGCUUGGGAACAAGGCUCCCCAAACACUGUGUUAACAAUCUAAAAAGAAGAAAAAUUAUGAGUGCCAACAGUACAGUUUAUAAUAAAAAGAAAUAAUUUUUGUUGUCGUGAAAUAUACUUACAAAAGUGGAAACGUUACACUCCCAAACUACUGAAGAACUACUGAAAAACAACUAAAAAAUGCUGUAGAUUUUAGGAAAGAAUCUAGAAUAGUAUGGAUACCAUGAACUUAAAUUGCAGGUAAGGCCAUAAGACAGAUUUGCAACUAAUUAUUUUAUUGCUAAAUAUUGGUGGGACUAUUGCAGUUAGAUUGAUAUAGCAAUGACCUCAUUCAUCUGUAACCAUUCUAUAAGGGGGACUUCGCUCAACAUUUGGGUAGGGUCUAGGGUGAAUGCUUGCUUAAGCAUCUGUAAGCUGAGGUCUGCCUGUCAAUGCUACAUAAUACUCAACAAAAACAUUUCCUAUAGAUUAAUACAGAAGCUGCACAUAAUGAUUCUGCUUGGGGGAUCCGAGAUGAGUAAGUUUCAUUACUUUUUCCCACUUUCUUACAUUAUACAUCGGAACUAGGAGUAUGUGAUGUUAUUCUCAAGAAGCUGCAGAUAAUGACUCUGUCUGGGGGAUCUGGAAAGAGUAACUUUCAGUGCUUUUUCCCACUGGCUUACAUUAAAAAUUGGAACUGGGGUAAAAAUUGAGGGGGGGGGGGGGGUGAUUCUAACACCUUUGGUUUAGUUUAGAAAGCAGUGACGUGAGCAUGUGAUGCUAUUCUCAAAACUCAAGUUUGAAGUCUAAAGAAACCCAGGUCUAAUUCAAUUUAUUAAAACUUCAUACAACUAUCACAAGAUGCAACAGAUAGAAAAAGAUGAGAAUAUUUUUCAUAGAACGACAGCAUUACAUGUUACUUAGAAAUUCUCUUUCUCUCCUUGGUAAUGCAGUCAUACAAAAAGCAAUUCAUGACCGUGAUUGUAGAUCUCAGAAUUUCAAGUAUUCACAAUCAAUGAGCUGACUCAUUAAAAUUUGAUCUUAUUAUUUUACUUUUUCUUCCAAGAAACAGGAUCAUCGUGCAAUGCAUUUAAUAAGGUCAAAGAAUUCCAGAGAGAAUCUUUAGAAAGAGCUUAGAAGCUUCUCACACAGUUCUUCGGUGCUGUAAAUGUGGCUACAAUAAGUAACUGAUGCUAAAGGUCAAUUUAAAAAGGCUAAACCAUUUGAGAAUUGCAAAUACUUGUUAAUCUGUACUAAACCAUUGGGGAGGAUGGGUUUAAAACAAGAUAAUGAGAAGUCACAAUGCAUAAUAGUAGUACAAAUCACACCACCACUGCCUGGGUUUAGGAUCUGUGUAUUUAAAAGUAGUUAAUGGAACCCAGGAUAAUACCCUAUUCUAACGUUUGUUUCAUGUGGCAAUUGUGGCGUGAAACAAAAUGAAAUAUUUUUUUGUAUUAUUAAUAUAUAUUAAUAUGUAUAACUUCUGUAUGUAAAUCAAAACUAUUUGUAAGGUUUAACAGAAGAACAAAAUAUUUCUAUAUGAAAAGCAACCCUCUUUUCUACUUGUUAAUUUACAAACCGAUUGUAACCACCACUAUAUAAGUAUUUAUGUUUGCUAGAAUUCUGCCUUCACUCAGUUUAAAUCCUGUUGGGAAUAAGUGGGAGCAGGUGUAAGGAUUCUCUCUCACUGGGGCUGUGACAGUAAAGAAAGCAUACGCAUGAGCUCACAGUCUCCUGACUUGAUUUAAGUGAUAGUAGUUUCAUCAUGAAGAAUGUAUCUGCCCAUGCAUUGGCUUUCCCGUGGCAGGCCUGAAGGAAAUUUAAUAAUGUGUUCACCAAACUGUUCUCUUUUAUGAUUAUGUUCUGGUAUAAUGCUAAGGACCUGUAAAUGUCAUAGUACUUUAACCCUAGGCAAUGAAAAUUAAUAUUAGGAAGUCUGACAGGACCGUAGCUCAACAGAACAAAAGAGAAGGAAUUUUAUAGUAUAAAAAGUAAUACAAAGAGAAAGGCAGUUGAACAGUGAGAUUAUUAUUUUUAUUAUUAACAUCCCCACAGUGCUGUACAAAAAAUGAGUUUCUGCAUUGGACAUGCAGAAUUACAACCAAUAACUGAUACAAGAGGUGAAGAAGGCUGUUCUUUUUUGUCUUGUAGCAGAUAAAAGGGAUUCAAUAUUGCAUAUUAAUCCAUAAAAGAACUUGGAUGCUGAUACUUAUUGCACACUAGUAUUGUACACUAGUUAAUGGACAAAGUCAAGGGGAAAGUGUUUUUACCUUGUUUUACAUGGAAUAGUGUAGAUCUGCUCAUAGGGUAAGUAAUUCCAAAAUGAUCAGCAUUGUGCAGGAUUUAUUUAAUUUCUUAUUCAUUUAUGUUCUAAAGAAGCAUACAUGGUAGCUGAUCUUUAUGACCAGUAUUCCAGCAGCAUUCUCAUGGUCAAGGUUGGCUUUAUAAUAACAGACUGUAUGCCGUGUUUAACUAUAAAUCUAUCCACAGCUGCAUGCGCAUUUCCCCUGUUGGCCAAUAACGUAACUUUUAGUGCUGGGGCCAAGGUGCAGACUGAGCAACUGCCCCCCCCAGACACAGUUUCACCAUGGAUUUACAACUAUCACCUAAAGGGGGUUCUGCUACAGGGCCUUGAGUAAUAAAAUUGUCAGUCUAAUUUUUGAAGGCAUAGUCUUACAUGCCCGAUUAUUAAUAGACCAUGGGGGUGAUAAGCCCCAUGGUCUAUUAAUAAUAGGGCAUGUAAGACAACUACUGUGCACAUCUUUAGUAUAUUUUAGAUAUGGAUGACACCAGCAAUAACCACAUGCAGUAGGAGAGGCAAAUAGCAUACGAUUGAUUCUGACUGCGAACAAGAGUUACAUCUGACAACCUCUUACCAAUGUUCUUGUUUUAUUCCUGUGAAAUGAAAUAAAUCUUUGCACAUUA